CUUGGUCAUUUAGAGGAAGUAAAAGUCGUAACAAGGUUUCCGUAGGUGAACCUGCGGAAGGAUCAUUAUCGUACAAAAUGUGAGAGGGGCAUGCGAGGGCUGUCGCUGACUCAAAGUCGUGCACGCCCGAGUGUGUCGCCUCACAUAAUAAUCCAUCUCACCCUUUGUGCAUCACCGCGUGGGCACCCCUUUGGGAUCAUCUCGGAGGGGGCUCGCGUUUUCACACAAAACCCCCCUUUUAAAAGUGUAGAAUGACCUCAUUUAUGCGCUAACCCGCAAUCAAUACAACUUUCAACAACGGAUCUCUUGGCUCUCGCAUCGAUGAAGAACGCAGCGAAAUGCGAUACGUAAUGUGAAUUGCAGAAUUCAGUGAAUCAUCGAAUCUUUGAACGCACCUUGCGCCCCCUGGUAUUCCGAGGGGCACACCCGUUUGAGUGUCGUGAAAACCUCAACCUCCUUGGUUUCUUCUGGAGACCAAAGCAGGCUUGGACUUUGGAGGCCUUUGCUGGCACCUCUCGCCAGCUCCUCUUAAAUGAAUUAGCAGGGUCCUCUUUGCUGAUCCUCGACGUGUGAUAAGAUGUUUCCAUGUCUUGGUUUCUGGCUCUGUCACCUUUGGGACCCGCUUCUAACCGUCUUCAACCUUGCGUUGAGACAACGUUCGAGCAUGUCUCCCUUCUCGGGAAGCUCCCUCGACCCCACGAACCCUUGACCUCAAAUCGGGUGAGACUACCCGCUGAACUUAAGCAUAUCAAUAAGCGGAGGA
This 763-nucleotide ribosomal RNA is filed under the name Lactarius rufus. RNAcentral describes it as "eukaryotic LSU rRNA". The stretch from base 287 to 440 matches the Rfam family "5.8S ribosomal RNA". The record is from RNAcentral. Lineage: Eukaryota; Fungi; Basidiomycota; Agaricomycetes; Russulales; Russulaceae.